RNAcentral lists this unclassified non-coding RNA (322 nucleotides) under uncultured fungus. RNAcentral's name for it is "partial contains small subunit ribosomal RNA, internal transcribed spacer 1, and 5.8S ribosomal RNA". The stretch from base 1 to 73 matches the Rfam family "Eukaryotic small subunit ribosomal RNA", at positions 1759 to 1831 of the family's 1831-position model. The record is from RNAcentral. Lineage: Eukaryota; Fungi.
UCAAACUUGGUCAUUUAGAGGAAGUAAAAGUCGUAACAAGGUUUCCGUAGGUGAACCUGCGGAAGGAUCAUUAACAAUUGUCCAACAUGGAUAAUUUUAUAUCCAUAUCCACCUUGUGUGAAUCAUUGAAGCGUUUGUUGGCAGGUUUUCAGGCUCGUUGAGCCUGUGGGAGUUCGACAUAAUUUGUUUGUCUGCUCGGGCUGCCAAUUUUAUUAUGUUUAAAACAUGUCUAAACACUGCUUGUCUGAAAUUGUUUUUGUAAUAAAUAAAUACAACUUUCAACAACGGAUCUCUUGGCUCUCGCAUCGAUGAAGAACGCAGC